Molecule: unclassified non-coding RNA, 1414 nt
Filed under: Bombus terrestris (buff-tailed bumblebee)
Lineage: Eukaryota; Metazoa; Arthropoda; Insecta; Hymenoptera; Apidae
Description: misc RNA ENSBTSG00005038985.1
Source: RNAcentral
GCGUUCGAUUCUUAUUGUAUAGCUAUUACUUUUGUGCGAAAGUGCUCCAGCCGCCGAAAGAAUCUCACGUGCAAGCUUUCUUACGGGAUUUGUCGAUGGGAUAAAGUUAAACGAUUCUACGGUCAAUGAGUUUGAACUUUCUUGGUUUUACCAGAAUAAUUGAAAACGAAGAAAGACAUAUGAUAGCAACGAUAUCGAGCGGACAAGAAUGAUUUGCGGCAAAUCGCCGCAGUGACAGCGGGUUGGAAGAAAAAGAAAAUGCAACAACGACUGGUGUCAGUGUGCAUAUUUGAUUAAAUAUGAAGAGAAAGGGUCUCUGCGCAACGUUCUUUAUCUAUUCCCAUAUCGCACCUACUUACACGGUCUCAUUCGUACCCUCUACCAUUUUUGUGUUACAUGCGUCGUUAUCAAUUCAAUAUAGUAUAGUGAUUUCAAUUACAAGUAAAGUUUUCUAUGAAAUUACAAAUACAAUACGAAUUAGGAUAUGGUGUAAUUGUAAAUGAAGUAUGGAAUUUUACACUUUUACAUACUUCAAUCUAAGAAACUCGCAACACAAUUUAUGGAUAACUUAAAUAGAUAAAUUGCGCACAAACGAAAAGAGCAAAAAAGUCAUCAACAAUUUGCUUGUGUGGAUAAAGGUAUCGAUCAAGUACUUCAAUCUUCAUAAAUAUACUAAAACUAAGGCUUAAAACUAACGAAACAAGUUAAAAGUAAUAUUUGAAAGUAAGACUUAAGACUAAGAUUAAAAAUUAUACUUAAAACAAAGAGUAAGUCCCCUGUUGCUUCACGCCAUCCAACAAUCAGGCUUAAAGUUAACGUAAUAUAGAUCUUAGAACUAAAACCUAUUUAAAUGUAAAACUAAACUAAAAAUAGAUAUUAGAUAGAUAUCAAUCUAAUGUGCAUUAGGACGUGGCUAUACUGGCAGCUUUUCAUAUCAAAGACUGUAACAUAGAACGAAAUUUAAGAAAUUAAAUUAUAUAACACAGGUACCCCACGAUAUCCCUGCAAUAUAUCCCUGCAAUAUCUCUCUACAACUGGUGCUAAUAAUUUAUUAACGAAUAUCUAUUGUAUGAUUAAUUAAAGCUAUAACGCAUGCAUUGCACGGUGUAGGUUUUUAAGCUGAGAGUGAAAACUAAUACUUAAACCUAAAACUUAAAAGGACGCAUACAUUACGCAACAACUAUCUCCCACGCUACGUUAUAAGAACAUUGUACAAUAAUUCGAUGACAGCAUUCAGUAUCACAAGAGACCUCCAAGUUUCAACGAGGGGCUCUAGGAUUGACCAUCACACGAUUUUUGUCUGGCCAUUCGAAACUUACACAAUCCACCGUCGAAGCUGCCGACUGAUGAUACUGCGGUAGAUUAGUCAAGGAUCGAGAUAAUGUAAAGAAAAGCAAACAUUACAAAUUUUCAA